This 497-nucleotide unclassified non-coding RNA is filed under the name Ruditapes decussatus. RNAcentral describes it as "sequence contains 5.8S rRNA gene, ITS2 and 28S rRNA gene". The stretch from base 1 to 125 matches the Rfam family "5.8S ribosomal RNA", at positions 30 to 154 of the family's 154-position model. The record is from RNAcentral. Lineage: Eukaryota; Metazoa; Mollusca; Bivalvia; Venerida; Veneridae.
GCGUCGAUGAAGAGCGCAGCCAGCUGCGUGAAUUAAUGUGAAUUGCAGGACACACUGAACAUCGACACCUUGAACGCACAUUGCGGCUCUGGCUCACUGCCAGAGCCACGCCUGUCCGAGGGUCGGCGAACAAAUAAUCGCAAAGCGAUAUCCAUGUGCAUAUUGCUUGCGCGUUGGCGUGUCGCUCGGGCUCAGACCCGAUCGUCCGCCGAAGACUUCAGCCUCUCUCUGGGCGGCCGACCGAGGUGGCGCGGGGACAGGGCUCGAACGGGCCUUCUGUCUGGCGCCGCGUCCUCCCACUAGCCUGGGAGGGCGGCCCUCUGCCGGCUUCCGUCACCCAGCCUCUGUAGCGGAGGAGGGGGGAGCGAGCGGCGGUGAAACGCCGAAGCCAGUAGCGCUGCACUGUGCUGCAGUGCAGCCGCUCACCUAUCCGACCUCGGAUCAGACGGGACUACCCGCUGAAUUUAAGCAUAUCAGUAAGCGGAGGAAAAGAAACU